ACUCCUACGGGAGGCAGCAGUGAGGAAUAUUGGUCAAUGGGCGAGAGCCUGAACCAGCCAAGUCGCGUGAAGGAAGAAGGAUCUAUGGUUUGUAAACUGCUUUUGAAGGGGAAUAAAGGGGUCUACGUGUAGAUCUUUGCAUGUACCUUUCGAAUAAGGAUCGGCUAACUCCGUGCCAGCAGCCGCGGUAAU
This 192-nucleotide ribosomal RNA is filed under the name uncultured bacterium. Its description in RNAcentral is "partial 16S ribosomal RNA". It matches the Rfam family "Bacterial small subunit ribosomal RNA", at positions 335 to 524 of the family's 1533-position model. The record is from RNAcentral.